CCGAGAGACCGGCCGCAGAGCGCACCGACGCGCACCCGCUCUCUUCUUAAUUCUUAUUCUUAUUCUUCUUACGCGUUUAGUAGUAUCUUACCUCAAUAUUAUUCAUCUACCUAUCCCAUUAUUAUUAUACUUUCUCUCUUGUAUCCUACCCCAAUUUCCUUCCUUUUUCCCUUCUUUUUUCUCGUUAGAUCCUCUAAGGCCCAAAAUUGUGUAUUUCGUUUAUCGAACUUCGUCGCGAGCUACUCUACCUUCGUGGUGUUAGUUUUUUUGUUAUUCUUCGUGUCUGCUGUGUGUCUUUAAAUUCGACUGUGUGAUAAUUGUCUACGAAUUUUGAGAUUUAUCAUUUCUUUUCUUUUUUUUUCAACUUUUGUUUGUCUUUUUUCUUGUUUUCUGACCAUUGUUUUUUUACUUUUUUACUUUUGGAUUCGACGUCCGUCAUGUAAAGUGAUAAUCGACGUGAAUGGAUGGUGGUGGUGUUUAUCACGCCCCACCCUCCCCCCUUUUGUUGACGUUUAUUCGUCAAUGAAACAAAUUCUACGUAAUUGUGUGACUUUAUGGUGAUAAAGUGUGUUUUAACUGGAAGUGUAUUUACGACAUGCUCCACCUCGUCACCAAGCAACGCUCCAACUGGAUCUUACGGAUCAUAUUGAAUGGACCCGCUAAUCGCAGGAGCGUCGUCGAUCUUCUUCGUCCCAAGAGGUGGAUAGAAAGGAUCGAUUUUUGUUCCUCGACGAGAAUAACGACGACAGGAACGUCGAGACAAGAGGAUUAUCCUAUCGAAUCUGUGUUAACGUUCGAAGAUACAUUAAGUUCGAUCGGAAUGAAUUUGUCUUUAGUGAGAACCAGAAAGUUACCUGAUCGAGAUAUUCACCUUCCUAGAAUUGGAACGGAUAUAAAACUAUAAGAAAAAAAAA
Molecule: long non-coding RNA, 914 nt
Organism: Polistes dominula (European paper wasp)
Lineage: Eukaryota; Metazoa; Arthropoda; Insecta; Hymenoptera; Vespidae
Source: RefSeq, a predicted model, not a curated record